This 460-nucleotide ribosomal RNA is filed under the name uncultured bacterium. RNAcentral describes it as "partial 16S ribosomal RNA". It matches the Rfam family "Bacterial small subunit ribosomal RNA", at positions 338 to 795 of the family's 1533-position model. The record is from RNAcentral.
CCUACGGGAGGCAGCAGUGAGGAAUAUUGGUCAAUGGGCGGGAGCCUGAACCAGCCAAGUCGCGUGAAGGAUGAAGGAUCUAUGGUUUGUAAACUUCUUUUAUAUGGGACUAAAGUGAGGCACGUGUUCCUUUUUGUAUGUACCAUAUGAAUAAGCCUCGGCUAACUCCGUGCCAGCAGCCGCUGUAAUACGGAGGAUGCGAGCGUUAUCCGGAUUUCUUGGGUUUAAAGGGUUCGUAGGUGGUUAAUUAAGUCAGCGGGUAAAGUUUGUGGCUCAACCAUAAAAUUGCCGUUGAAACUGGUGUACUUGAGUAUAUGUGAGGUAGGCGGAAUGCGUGGUGUAGCGGUGAAAUGCAUAGAUAUCACGCAGAACUCCGAUUGCGAAGGCAGCUUACUAAACUAUAACUGACACUGAAGCACGAAAGCGUGGGGAUCAAACAGGAUUAGAUACCCCAGUAGUC